Molecule: long non-coding RNA, 522 nt
Filed under: Mus spicilegus (steppe mouse)
Lineage: Eukaryota; Metazoa; Chordata; Mammalia; Rodentia; Muridae
Description: lncRNA (ENSMSIG00000005786.1)
Source: RNAcentral
UUUCUCACGGCAUUCUCUGUCUCACACUCCCUGUCCCUCCCCACAGGCCUCCCUGCAUACUUGAAAGCUUCCUGAAUGAAGAGCAGAGCCAUGUUUCAUAGUUCGGGCGAUUGAGAAAGAAGCAUGAAUUCUUCUAAAAUCAAGAGACACUAGCCUAAGAGCAAUGUAUCCUGAAUAAGGAGCCCUCUGCAAACAUGUGACAGCAGGUCUCGUGGCUAAUGCAUACAAAAGUCACCUAGAGAACGCUACAACUCUGCAGGGCCGAGACUGAGCGUCCACAGGCCAUCUCCAUCCAUGUGGCCCCUGUGCUUGUUGUGUUCCAACCUUAAGGACUUACAUCGAGAAGCAGUUUUCACACCCACACCACAGGGAAACUUUUACAGGCUUCAGUUCAUAAAGACUGAAAACUCAGCCGAAAGCUCAGGCUGUUUGGAGGUGCAAUGGAAGCAAAGUAAGACUUUGAUGUGACAAGUCCCAGCUGAGGUGGACCAGCCUGUGGGGACUCAGGACUCUCUGCGUAGG